CGGGGCGUGGGCGGCGGCGGAGCUGGGACGGGGGGAGCAGCGAGGCUGGGAGCGGGGUAGGCUGCGCCCGUACUUAAACGGGCUGCCCGAGCCGCUGACGUCUUUCGAAUUGGAGACGGGCUGCCCCCUCCCGCUCCGCGCUCCUGCGAGUACGGCCGGGGACGGAGCUAAGGUACACGUAUCUGUCUAGAAUGUCCAGGCAUGCACAGCAGCUUAGAGACCAUGAUAUAAAUCCAUGUGUAGAGGAAACAGAUGCCUCUAGAAAAUGUAUGGAUGACAACAACUAUAACAAGAAUAUGUGUACUGAUUAUUUUUUGAAGUACAAAAGCUGCAGAAAAUUCUGGCAUAAUGUUAUGGUGCAGAGAAGAAGAAAUGGUAUAAAACCAGAGAUGCCCUCAGCAGAGGAGAGAAAGAAAAUGUUGGAAUCAAUGGAGAAGCCCUACUGACUAGAAACUUGUAUGGAUUGACUGUUUCACUGUAUGGAUGAAGGCUUACCAGUAGCAGACUUGAACAAGUACCUUGUACUGCUUUGAAAAGUGUUUGUAAAGUGCUACUACUGGGCUUCAGAAAGUCAGAAAAGGAGAUUCAUUGCCUGCUUUCAAGUAUCAAACAAUACAAGAACCUGGGAUCACAGAACAGGCUAAGGCAUGUGUAAUGCAAGAAUAGUAUUUCAAUAUUAGACUUCCUGAUCAUCAGUGGACAUGUAUGCUGGAUGGUGCUGUUGCACAACACAUUGUAUGAAAACAGACUCACUCCACCCACUGCUGUGUCUGUAGAGCUUUUUUACCUUCUUCCCACAGAUAGCGGAAUUUGUUCAGGAGAAAGGCAAAGUUGGUACUGUCUCUAAACAGAAGAGUCUAAAUAAUACUGGAAAAUAAAAACUUUCUGUGUGCCUGAGAAGCUUUGGAAUAUUGUCCUCAGUCACAGCAGUGUACUGUGCAGCAGCUACAGGCUCUGUGCCAGGCCCAGGUGGAUGUCCAGAUUCCCAUCUGUACCAUCCUGCCUUCCCCAUUUCCCUGCAGCACAAGACCUUUUGAUGUCUGGCUCUGGAAGUUUGCUGCUGCCACAGCUGGGAUUACUUCAUUGGAAACUUACUGAGGGUGUACUUGAUUGCCUGGUACAGGUCAGUGAUAAAGCUAUUAAACAGAAGUGGCCCCACCACUGAGCCCUGGGGAACACAACUUGAGACAGGCCACCAACUGGAUUUAAUUCCAUUCACCACAACUCUUUGGGCCUGCCCAGCCAACCAGUUUUUUAACCAGUGAAGCAUAUGCAUAGCCCAGCCAUGGGCAGCCAGUUUCUCCAGGAUAACGCUGUGGGAAACUGUCACAGACUUUACUAAGAUCUAGUUAUAAAGCAUCUACAGCCUUUCCCUCAUCCAUUAAGUGGGUCAUCUUGUCAUGGAAGGUGAUGAGGUUAGUAAGGCAGGUCCUGCGUUUCAUAAACCCAGGUUGACUGGACCUGAUCACCUGGUUGUCCUGUAUGUGCCAUGUGAUGACACUGAAGAUGAUCUGCUCCAUAACUUUCCCCAGCACCGAGGUCAUCAUAGGCCUGUAGUUCUUUGGCUCUUUCUUUCAGCCUGUCUUGUAGAUGGGUGUCACAUUUGCUACCCUCAAGUCCCUCCCAGUUAGCCAGUACUGCUGAUAGGUGAUUGAAUUGGUGAAUUUUGUGAGUUCCCUCAGGAUCCUUGGCUGGAUCAUAUCCUGUCCCAUAGACCUGUGUGUUUGACCAUUUCCCCUUGGAUUAUGGGGACUUCAAACUGCUCCAUAUCACUGUAUUCCAGCUCAGAGGACUAGGUACCCAGCAAACAACUUGUCUUACUACUGAAGACUGAGGCAAAGAAGACAUUAAGUACCCCAGUCUUUUCUUCAGCCUUUGUCAUGUUUCCCCCCACAUCCUAUAAAGGAUUGAGAUUCUGCUUAGCCCUCCUUUCGUUGCUAAUGUAUUUCAAAUCACAGAAUCAUCAGGGGUGGAAAGGACCUUCAAGAUCAUUC
Molecule: RNA transcript, 1994 nt
Organism: Calypte anna (Anna's hummingbird)
Lineage: Eukaryota; Metazoa; Chordata; Aves; Apodiformes; Trochilidae
Gene: CHCHD7
Gene name: coiled-coil-helix-coiled-coil-helix domain containing 7
Exons: 6
Source: RefSeq, a predicted model, not a curated record